Molecule: microRNA precursor, 77 nt
Organism: Cavia aperea (Brazilian guinea pig)
Lineage: Eukaryota; Metazoa; Chordata; Mammalia; Rodentia; Caviidae
Source: Ensembl
CUGGAACUCACUUUGUAGCCCAGGCUGGCCUCCAACUCGCAGUGAUCCCCCUGCCUCAGUCUCCUGAGUGCUGGGAU